AUCGUGAAGGACAAGAAGUCACUAUGAUGACUGCUCGAGGGUCACCAAGGUUGAGCCUCCUCAAAAAAGUUGUCGAAAGGGAUAGAGCAUCACCUCCUACAAGCAGUGUGACAAAGAGGAGGAGAGGGUCUCCCAAAGAAGAUAGAGCACAGUGGAAUGCAAGCCUUGAGAAAGAUCUUGUGGACUUGCUUCAUGAGCAUGCUACACCUGAACAUAAGGGUCAAAAUGGAUGGAGCUCAGAAG
Triticum dicoccoides is the source of this 243-nucleotide long non-coding RNA. RefSeq lists it as uncharacterized. Lineage: Eukaryota; Viridiplantae; Streptophyta; Magnoliopsida; Poales; Poaceae. The record is from RefSeq and is a predicted model, not a curated record. The transcript is spliced from 3 exons.